GACGAACGCUGGCGGCGUGCUUAACACAUGCAAGUCGAACGGAAAGGCCCUGCAUUUGUGGGAUGCUCGAGUGGCGAACGGGUGAGUAACACGCGAGUAACCUGCCCUUGACUUUGGGAUAACUUCAGGAAACUGGGGCUAAUACCGGAUAGGAGCUCCUGCUGCAUGGUGGGGGUUGGAAAGUUUCGGCGGUUGGGGAUGGACUCGCGGCUUAUCAGCUUGUUGGUGGGGUAGUGGCUUACAAAGGCGUUGACGGGUAGCUGGCCUGAGAGGGUGACCGGCCACAUUGGGACUGAGAAACGGCCCAGACGCAUACGGGAGGCAGGGGUGAGGAAUAUUGCAAAAAGGGCGGAAGCCGGAUGCAGCAACGCCGGGUGCGGGAUGACGGCCUUCGGGUUAUAAACCGCUUUCGCCUGUGACGAAGCGUGAGUGACGGUAAUGGGUAAAAAAGCACCGGCUAACUACGUG
This 468-nucleotide ribosomal RNA is filed under the name uncultured bacterium. RNAcentral's name for it is "partial 16S ribosomal RNA". It matches the Rfam family "Bacterial small subunit ribosomal RNA", at positions 28 to 507 of the family's 1533-position model. The record is from RNAcentral.